RNAcentral lists this ribosomal RNA (238 nucleotides) under uncultured bacterium. Its description in RNAcentral is "partial 16S ribosomal RNA". It matches the Rfam family "Bacterial small subunit ribosomal RNA", at positions 539 to 776 of the family's 1533-position model. The record is from RNAcentral.
CGUUGCUCGGAAUCACUGGGCGUAAAGCGCACGUAGGCGGAUUGCUAAGUCAGGGGUGAAAUCCUGGAGCUCAACUCCAGAACUGCCUUUGAUACUGGUGAUCUUGAGUCCGGGAGAGGUGAGUGGAACUGCGAGUGUAGAGGUGAAAUUCGUAGAUAUUCGCAAGAACACCAGUGGCGAAGGCGGCUCACUGGCCCGGUACUGACGCUGAGGUGCGAAAGCGUGGGGAGCAAACAGG